This 33-nucleotide transfer RNA is filed under the name Pekania pennanti (fisher). RNAcentral's name for it is "partial tRNA-Thr". Lineage: Eukaryota; Metazoa; Chordata; Mammalia; Carnivora; Mustelidae. The record is from RNAcentral.
AAACCAAAAACGGAGAACACUCUCUCCCUAAGA